UACGUAGGGGGCGAGCGUUGUCCGGAUUUAUUGGGCGUAAAGAGCGUGUAGGCGGCCAGGUAGGUCUGCUGUGAAAACUCGAGGCUCAACCUCGAGACGUCGGCGGAAACCAUCUGGCUAGAGUCCGGAAGAGGAGAGUGGAAUUCCUGGUGUAGCGGUGAAAUGCGUAGAUAUCUGGAGGAACACCGGUGGCGAAGGCGGCAUCCUGGACCAACACUGACGCUGAGGAGCGAAAGCCAGGGGAGCAAACGGG
RNAcentral lists this ribosomal RNA (253 nucleotides) under uncultured bacterium. RNAcentral describes it as "partial 16S ribosomal RNA". It matches the Rfam family "Bacterial small subunit ribosomal RNA", at positions 524 to 776 of the family's 1533-position model. The record is from RNAcentral.